RNAcentral lists this ribosomal RNA (323 nucleotides) under Pichitus sp. n. MZSP 73001. RNAcentral describes it as "partial small subunit ribosomal RNA". The record is from RNAcentral. Lineage: Eukaryota; Metazoa; Arthropoda; Arachnida; Opiliones; Gonyleptidae.
CCCUAGUAUUUAAUAUGAAAUAAAAUUAGUAAAUUAUUGAAAUUUAAUAAUUUUGGCGGUUAUUUAUUAAUUUAGAGGAGCUUGUUUAAGAAUAAGAAUUUACUCUUUAAAUUUUUAUAAUAUUUAGUUUAUUCAUCUCCGUUAAUAGAUUAAUAAUCAAUAAAGAAUUAUUUUUAGUAUUUCAGGUCAAGAUGUAUCAUAUAUUUUAUAUAAAUUAGCUACAAUUAUAUAAUAAUGAAUUAUUUUAAAGAAGAUUAUUAAAGAAAUUGAAUUUAGUUGUAAUAAUAAUUAAAAAGUUAUUAUGAAAUUUUAUAAUUAAUGUA